This 217-nucleotide unclassified non-coding RNA is filed under the name plant metagenome. Its description in RNAcentral is "partial contains small subunit ribosomal RNA, internal transcribed spacer 1, and 5.8S ribosomal RNA". The stretch from base 1 to 54 matches the Rfam family "Eukaryotic small subunit ribosomal RNA", at positions 1778 to 1831 of the family's 1831-position model. The record is from RNAcentral.
GGAAGUAGAAGUCGUAACAAGGUCUCCGUUGGUGAACCAGCGGAGGGGUCAUUACCGAGUUUACAACUCCCAAACCCCUGUGAACAUACCAUUUGUUGCCUCGGCGGUGCCUGCUUCGGCAGCCCGCCAGAGGACCCAAACCCUUGAUUUUAUACAGUAUCUUCUGAGUAAAUGAUUAAAUAAAUCAAAACUUUCAACAACGGAUCUCUUGGUUCUG